Molecule: ribosomal RNA, 311 nt
Filed under: uncultured bacterium
Lineage: Bacteria
Description: bacterial SSU rRNA
Rfam family: Bacterial small subunit ribosomal RNA
Source: RNAcentral
GAUGAACGCUGGCGGCGUGCCUAAUACAUGCAAGUCGAACGCGAGCACUUGUGCUCGAGUGGCGAACGGGUGAGUAAUACAUAAGUAACCUGCCCUAGACAGGGGGAUAACUAUUGGAAACCGAUAGGCUAAGACCGCAUAGGUACGGACACCUGCAUGGGUGACCGUAUUAAAAGUGCCUCAAAGCACGUGGUAGAGGAUGGGACUUAUGGCGCAUUAGCUGGUUGGCGGGGUAACGGCCCACCGAAGGCGACGAUGCGUAGCCGACCUGAGAGGGUGACCGGCCACACUGGGACUGAGACACGGCCCAG